Gorilla gorilla gorilla (western lowland gorilla) is the source of this 973-nucleotide long non-coding RNA. RefSeq lists it as uncharacterized. The transcript is spliced from 3 exons. The record is from RefSeq and is a predicted model, not a curated record. NCBI's taxonomy places the organism in Eukaryota, Metazoa, Chordata, Mammalia, Primates, Hominidae.
UCAAACAGUGCCAUCUGGGAUUCAAUUUAACUUGCGAAUUUCCUGAAUUAAAAAAAGAAAGGGUGUCCUGAAUAUAAAAAUCAGACGCCAAGCCCUGGACUUGAGGUUUCUUAGUAGAAAUACACUGCCAAAGGAAAGAUCGCUUAAGCCCUGGAGUUUGAGCUUACAGUGAGCUAUGAUCAUGCCACUACACUCCAGCCUGACUGACAGAGCAGGACAAGCGGAAGGACGAGUCAGAAAAGCUUCCGGGAAGAGGCAGGGCAUGAGAGGCUCAUCAGAAAAUUCAGCCAUAACAUAGGAAUGUGAAGCAGACGGGGGAGCAGGAAGUUCUCGGAAGGCUGGCUGACCCCAGAGGCCCUUGGUAACCAGAAGUGACAGUUGAGGAACGAGGAGUCCUGGAGCAGGAGAGGAAAAGGUGGCAACUGAGCUAAGAGGUUUUCAGGCUCAUCUCUCUUUAGCUAUCAACUGGUAAAAGAGAGAGCACAUCUACUCAACUGCCUCAGUCAAGGGAUCCCACAUCACUUCUAUUUUACCGCAUCUCAAUGGUGAGAACUAGUCACGUGCCUCUCCUAGAUUCAAGGAGAGCUGGGAAAAGCAGUCAGCCCAGGAAGAAGGAGACAGAGGCUCUAAGGCAGUUGUCAAGAAUUACUGCAGCCCAGAGAAAGGACGGGGAGAAUGACAGUGACUCAUCAAGAAGACUUAUAAGCUGAUUGGGCAACUCAUGAUCAAAGCUGUUAGCUACCCAAAGGGAUAGCAGGAUAAAUUACAGCCAGAAGAAUUAACAAUUUUGUAAUUGGCAUCUUACAUUGUGAAGGCUCAUUCCAGUCACCUGUCACCGAGCUUUUAAAGUUUAGGGGAAAGCAUUUGGGGGUGCCUGACUCUGUGUGUUUAUAUCUUGCUUGCAACAACUGAAGGAUGGGUUUCUGAGAACAAGGGUGAGAUACGUAUUUAUAAAUGAAAUCUUUUCCAUGGG